UAUAGUGCUUGCACUAUAGAGACCGGCGCACGGGUGCGUAACGCGUAUGCAAUCUACCUUAUACAGGGGAAUAGCCCAGGGAAACUUGGAUUAAUGCCCCAUAGUAUCAUUAAGUAGCAUUACUUUGAUGAUUAAAGAUUUAUCCGGUAUAAGAUGAGCAUGCGUCCCAUUAGUUAGUUGGUAAGGUAACGGCUUGCCAAGACAGCGAUGGGUAGGGGCCCCUGAGAGGGGGAUCCCCCACACUGGUACUGAGACACGGACCAGACUCC
RNAcentral lists this ribosomal RNA (269 nucleotides) under unidentified marine bacterioplankton. RNAcentral's name for it is "partial 16S ribosomal RNA". It matches the Rfam family "Bacterial small subunit ribosomal RNA", at positions 72 to 339 of the family's 1533-position model. The record is from RNAcentral.